AACGAACGCUGGCGGCAUGCCUAACACAUGCAAGUCGAACGAGACCUUCGGGUCUAGUGGCGCACGGGUGCGUAACGCGUGGGAACCUGCCCUUAGGUUCGGAAUAACUCCCCGAAAGGGGUGCUAAUACCGGAUAAUGUCGUCGGACCAAAGAUUUAUCGCCUUUGGAUGGGCCCGCGUUGGAUUAGCUAGUUGGUAGGGUAAAAGCCUACCAAGGCGACGAUCCAUAGCUGGUCUGAGAGGAAGGUCAGCCACACUGGGACUGAGACACGGCCCAGACUCCUACGGGAGGCAGCAGUGGGGAAUAUUGGAAAAUGGGCGAAAGCCUGAUCCAGCAAUGCCGCGUGAGUGAUGAAGGCCUUAGGGUUGUAAAGCUCUUUUACCCGGGAUGAUAAUGACAGUACCGGGAGAAUAAGCACCGGCUAACUCCGUG
RNAcentral lists this ribosomal RNA (433 nucleotides) under uncultured bacterium. RNAcentral's name for it is "partial 16S ribosomal RNA". It matches the Rfam family "Bacterial small subunit ribosomal RNA", at positions 29 to 507 of the family's 1533-position model. The record is from RNAcentral.